GAUGAAGAACGCAGCGAAAUGCGAUACGUAAUGUGAAUUGCAGAAUUCAGUGAAUCAUCGAAUCUUUGAACGCAUAUUGCGCUCUUUGGUAUUCCGAAGAGCAUGCUUGUUUGAGUAUCAGUAAACACCUCAAAAGAUUUUCAUUUUUGAAAUGAUUUUGGACUUGAGCAAUCCCAACACCAGUCUUCACGGAUCGGCGGAGGGUUGCUUGAAAUGCAGGUGCAGCUGGACAUUCUCCUGAGCUAAAAGCAUAUCUAUUUAGUCCCGUCAAACGGAUUAUUACUUUUGCUGCAGCUAACAUAAAGGGAGUUUGACCAUUUUGGCUGACUGAUGCAGGAUUUCACAAGGGUCGGUAAAACGAUUUUUGUAAAACUCGAUCUCAAAUCAAGUAAGACUACCCGCUGAACUUAAGCAUAUCAAUAAGAGGAGGA
RNAcentral lists this unclassified non-coding RNA (431 nucleotides) under soil metagenome. RNAcentral's name for it is "partial contains 5.8S ribosomal RNA, internal transcribed spacer 2, and large subunit ribosomal RNA". The stretch from base 1 to 120 matches the Rfam family "5.8S ribosomal RNA", at positions 35 to 154 of the family's 154-position model. The record is from RNAcentral.